This 340-nucleotide ribosomal RNA is filed under the name uncultured Bacillota bacterium. Its description in RNAcentral is "bacterial SSU rRNA". It matches the Rfam family "Bacterial small subunit ribosomal RNA", at positions 28 to 351 of the family's 1533-position model. Lineage: Bacteria; Bacillati; Bacillota. The record is from RNAcentral.
GAUGAACGCUGGCGGCGUGCUUAACACAUGCAAGUCGAACGAAGUUACAAAAUGGAAGUCUUCGGAUGGAAGUUUUGUAAUUUAGUGGCGGACGGGUGAGUAACGCGUGGGUAACCUGCCUUAUACUGGGGGAUAACAGUUGGAAACGACUGCUAAAACCGCAUAAUAUAAUGAAAUCGCAUGAUUUUAUUAUCAAAUAUUUAUAGGUAUAAGAUGGGCCCGCGUCUGAUUAGCUAGUUGGUGGGGUAAUGGCCUACCAAGGCAACGAUCAGUAGCCGGCUUGAGAGAGUGAUCGGCCACAUUGGGACUGAGACACGGCCCAAACUCCUACGGGAGGCAG